GUGGGGAAUCUUAGACAAUGGGGGAAACCCUGAUCUAGCCAUGCCGCGUGAGCGAUGAAGGCCUUAGGGUUGUAAAGCUCUUUCAGCUGGGAAGAUAAUGACGGUACCAGCAGAAGAAGCCCCGGCUAACUCCGUGCCAGCAGCCGCGGUAAUACGGAGGGGGCUAGCGUUGUUCGGAAUUACUGGGCGUAAAGCGCGCGUAGGCGGACCAGAAAGUUGGAGGUGAAAUCCCAGGGAUCAACCUUGGAACUGCCUUCAAAACUCCUGGUCUGGAGGUCGAGAGAGGUGAGUGGAAUUCCGAGUGUAGAGGUGAAAUUCGUAGAUAUUCGGAGGAACACCAGUGGCGAAGGCGGCUCACUGGCUGGAUACUGACGCUGAGGUGCGAAAGCGUGGGGAGCAAACAGGAUUAGAAACCCUUGUAGUCC
This 425-nucleotide ribosomal RNA is filed under the name uncultured bacterium. RNAcentral describes it as "partial 16S ribosomal RNA". It matches the Rfam family "Bacterial small subunit ribosomal RNA", at positions 354 to 796 of the family's 1533-position model. The record is from RNAcentral.